Molecule: long non-coding RNA, 3043 nt
Filed under: Homo sapiens (human)
Lineage: Eukaryota; Metazoa; Chordata; Mammalia; Primates; Hominidae
Description: HSALNT0130180
Source: RNAcentral
CCUGCCCCACCUCCGCCGGGCUCCACAGCCGCCGGGAGCCCAGGGCCGAGACGGGAGGAGGGCACCCACCUGGUCGGUGUCACAUGCUGCUUCGGCCCCAGCGUCCCCUCCAGGUCCCGGCGCCGGCCGCAGUCCCCAGAGCCGUCCCCAGCGCAGGCCCGGCCGCCCCACCCGCGGCCCGCCCCUGGCCGCCCGACGGGAGGGAGGGAUCGGGUUCUCCUAGGAAGUUUCAGGUCAUUCAACAUUUAUUCAACCAAAAAUACUAAGUCAGCUCUAUACAAACUAAUGGAAGGAUACAGCUAUGCAAAUAUAGAACACUAAAGUGUUACAUGACAGAUGUAUGAGUCUUGGAUAUGUCUUUAUCAGCAGUAUGAAAACUGACUAAUACAGUAAAUUGGUACCAGUGGAGUGGGGCGCUGCUGAAAAGAUACCUGAAAAUGUGGAAGCGACUUUGGAACUGGGUAACAGGCAGAGGUUGAAACAGUUUGGAGGGCUCAGAAGAAGACAAGAAAAUGUGGGAAAGUUUGGAACUUCCUAAAGACUUGUUGAAUGGCUUUGACAAAAAUGCUGAUACUGCUAUGGACAAUAAGGUCCAGGCUGAGGUGGUCUCAGAUGGAGAUGAGGAACUUGUAGGGAACUGGAACAAAGAUGACUGUUGUUAUGUUUUAGCAAAGAGACUGGUGGCAUUUUGCCCCUACCAUAGAGAUUUGUGGAACUUUGAUCUUGAGAGAGGUGAUUUAGGGUAUCUGGCUGAAGAAAUUUCUAAGCAGCAAAGCAUUCAAGAGGUGAUUUGGGUGCUGUUAAAAGCAUUUCAUUUUAAAAGGGAAACAGCAUAAAAAUUUGGAAAAUUUGCAGCCAGUUGAUGCAGCAGAAGAGAGAAACCUGUUUUUUGAGGAGAAAUUCAAGCUGGCUGCAGAAAUUUGCAUAAGUUACAGGGAGCUGAAUGUUAAUCUCCAAGACAAUGGGGAAAAUGUCUCCAGGGCAUGUCACAGGUCUUCAUGGCAGCCCCUCCCAUCACAGACCCUGAAGACUAGGAGGAAAAAAUGGUUUUGUGGGCCAGGCCCAGGGUCCCCAUGCUGUGUGCAGCCUAGGGACUUGGUGCCCUGCAUCCCAGCUGCUCCAGCCAUUGCUAAAAGGGCCGAGGUACAGCUCUGCCCGUGGUUUCAGAGGGUGCAAGCCCCAAACCUUGGCAGCUUCCAUGUGGUGUUGAGCCUGCAGGUGCAUGGAAGUCAAGAAUUGAGGUUUGGGAACCUCCAUCUAGAUUUCAGAAGAUGUAUGGAAUCACCUGGAUGCUCAGGCAAAAGUUUGCUCCAGGGGCAGAGCCUUCAUGGAGAACCUCUGCUAGGGCAGUGUGAAGGGAAAUGUGGGGUUGGAGCCCCCACACAGAAUCCCUACUGGGGCACCACCUAGUGGAGCUGUGCAAAGAAGGCCACCGUCCUUCAGACCCCAGAAUGGUAGAUCCACCGACAGCUUGUACCGUGCACCUGGAAAAGCCACAGACCCUAAACGCCAGCCCGUGAAAGCAGCCAGGAGUGGGGACUAUACCCUGUGAAGCCACAGGGGCAGAGCUGCCCAAGACUAAGGGAACCUACCUCUUGCAUCAUUGUGACCUGGAUGUGAGACAUGGAGUCAGAGGAGAUCAUUUUGGAACGUUAUAAUUUGACUGCCUCGCUGGAUUUUGGACUUGCAUGGGGCUUGUAACGCCUUUGUUGUGGGCACUUUCUCCCAUUUGGAAUGGCUGUAUUUACCCAUUACCUGUAUCCCCAUUGUAUGUAGGAAGUAACUAGCUUGCUUUUGAUUUUACAGGAUCAUGGGUAGAAGGGACUUGCCUUGUUUCAGAUGAGACUUUGGACUACGGACUUUUGGGUUAAUGCUGAGAUGAGUUAAGACUUUGGGGGACUGUUUGGAAGGCAUGAUUGGUUUUGAAAUGUGAGAACAUGAGAUUUGGAGGGGCCAGGGGCAGAAUGAUAUGGUUUGGCUGUGCCCCCACCCAAAUCUCAACUUGAAUUGUUAUCUCCCAGAAUUCCCAGGUGUUGUGGGAGGGACCCAGGGGGAGGUAAUUGAAUCAUGGGGGCCGGUCUUUCCCAUGCUAUUUUUGUGAUAGUGAAUAAGUCUCAGGAGAUCUGAUGGGUUUAUCAGGAGUUUCUGCUUUUGUUUCUCUCUCAUUGUCUCUUGCCGCUGCCAUAUAAGAAGUACCUUUUGCCUCCCACUGUGAUUCUGAGGCCUCCCCAGCCAUGUGCAACUGUAAGUCCAAUGAAACCUCUUUUUCUCCUCAGUUUUGGGUAUGUCUUUAUCAGCAGCGUGAAAAUGGACUAAUACGAUCACCCUCUUCUUUGUUCUCCUUUCUAUUUCAUCUCUAAUUUUUUUUGGCAUUUGGAGGGUGCUAUACAUUGCAAAAGUUGGGGACUCACUAAUUCCACUGCUCACUGUAUAUCAAGGUAAUCUGUCAGGGGUUUGGUUUUAUAUAAGAAACAAAUGAGUCCCCAGAACAUACAAGUUAAGAUUAUUCAAUCAAGGGAGGCAGUCAUUACCCUUUAACCUCUGAAAGAAAACUGCAAGUAGGCAUCAAACUAACCCUGAGAUGGGAGAGAGUAGAAGUUCCCACACCCAGUGAAUUGUAGGACAUUAGGUAAUUAUUGGUGGGAAGUAAAUUUGAGUGGGGAACUGAAUUUCAACUGACUUUUAUCCUUGAAGAUGGUGCUUCUAUUUUCUCAAAUUAGAAGGUUAUGAAAAUUGCAUCUGAACAACAAGUUGUAUUAGCAUAAGUUCUAGAAGAAACUGAGAAAGCAAGGCUAGUCUGAGGAAAAUUUAUACCGCUCACAUUUCCCUUCUGAAUUGGAGAAUAGAAUUGAAUAGCAAAAUUGUAACCUACCUUUCAAAGAUGCAUUUUAUAGUGAAGUAUAUUUUGUGAACUUUUAUAUCUUCUAUUCUUAUUUUUCUAUUGCCCUAUUUUAAAAUCUAUCUUGAAUUUAUUAAAUGUAUAUGUCUCUGUUUAUAUAUUUAUGAGUAAUAUGGUAGUCUUUUUGGUAUCAGAUGAGAACCC